GGUUUAUUCCGAAGCGGCGAGAGAACAGGCUCGAUGACCCGCUGGCAACCACCAGCAACGCACAAGCUGGCAGGUGCCAAGUCCUGCCCCCACCGAGGGGACAAAUAAAUA
Molecule: non-coding RNA, 111 nt
Filed under: Cytophagales bacterium
Lineage: Bacteria; Pseudomonadati; Bacteroidota; Cytophagia; Cytophagales
Description: SAM-I sequence
Rfam family: SAM riboswitch aptamer (S box leader)
About the family: The SAM riboswitch is found upstream of a number of genes which code for proteins involved in methionine or cysteine biosynthesis in Gram-positive bacteria.
Source: RNAcentral